GCAAAAGUUUAUGGGUCUAGGAUAAAAUAUUUCCAUUUCCCCCAAGAUAUGAUCAAUGGGCUGAUGCGGGGUCAUAAUUCCAUUUUAAGAAGUUGGAGGUGUGAUUUUUUAUAGAGAUUAAUUUAUAUGUUUUGUUUGUUGUAAAAUAUUUUUACACGUACCGUACAUUCAACCAAAUAAUUUUAAAUAGAUAUUGGUAGAGAUAUUCUAUCAACUAUAACCAAAAAGAUGGCAGCAUAGAGUAACUUGAUCAAAUGCAUGUAUAAAAAAGAAUUACACUGUUGUAUAUACAAAUUAAAUAAUUUUUAAAUUGUUCUAAAUAAGUUCUAA
Molecule: long non-coding RNA, 330 nt
Filed under: Medicago truncatula (barrel medic)
Lineage: Eukaryota; Viridiplantae; Streptophyta; Magnoliopsida; Fabales; Fabaceae
Description: lncRNA gene11631
Source: RNAcentral